RNAcentral lists this ribosomal RNA (440 nucleotides) under uncultured Janthinobacterium sp. RNAcentral's name for it is "bacterial SSU rRNA". It matches the Rfam family "Bacterial small subunit ribosomal RNA", at positions 358 to 790 of the family's 1533-position model. The record is from RNAcentral. Lineage: Bacteria; Pseudomonadati; Pseudomonadota; Betaproteobacteria; Burkholderiales; Oxalobacteraceae.
GGAAUUUUGGACAAUGGGCGCAAGCCUGAUCCAGCAAUGCCGCGUGAGUGAAGAAGGCCUUCGGGUUGUAAAGCUCUUUUGUCAGGGAAGAAACGGUAGAGGCUAAUAUCCUUUGCUAAUGACGGUACCUGAAGAAUAAGCACCGGCUAACUACGUGCCAGCAGCCGCGGUAAUACGUAGGGUGCAAGCGUUAAUCGGAAUUACUGGGCGUAAAGCGUGCGCAGGCGGUUUUGUAAGUCUGAUGUGAAAUCCCCGGGCUCAACCUGGGAAUUGCAUUGGAGACUGCAAGGCUAGAAUCUGGCAGAGGGGGGUAGAAUUCCACGUGUAGCAGUGAAAUGCGUAGAUAUGUGGAGGAACACCGAUGGCGAAGGCAGCCCCCUGGGUCAAGAUUGACGCUCAUGCACGAAAGCGUGGGGAGCAAACAGGAUUAGAUACCCCGG